RNAcentral lists this ribosomal RNA (484 nucleotides) under uncultured bacterium. RNAcentral's name for it is "partial 16S ribosomal RNA". It matches the Rfam family "Bacterial small subunit ribosomal RNA", at positions 29 to 507 of the family's 1533-position model. The record is from RNAcentral.
AUUGAACGCUGGCGGCAUGCUUUACACAUGCAAGUCGAACGGCAGCGCGGGCUUCGGCCUGGCGGCGAGUGGCGAACGGGUGAGUAAUACAUCGGAACGUGCCCAGUAGUGGGGGAUAGCUCGGCGAAAGCCGGAUUAAUACCGCAUACGACCUGCGGGUGAAAGCGGGGGAUCUUCGGACCUCGCGCUAUUGUAGCGGCCGAUGGCAGAUUAGCUAGUUGGUGGGGUAAAGGCCUACCAAGGCGACGAUCUGUAGCUGGUCUGAGAGGACGACCAGCCACACUGGGACUGAGACACGGCCCAGACUCCUACGGGAGGCAGCAGUGGGGAAUUUUGGACAAUGGGCGAAAGCCUGAUCCAGCAAUGCCGCGUGUGUGAUGAAGGCCUUCGGGUUGUAAAGCACUUUUGGCGGGAACGAAAAGGACUGUGCCAAUACCACGGUUCGAUGACGGUACCCGCAGAAUAAGCACCGGCUAACUACGUG